RNAcentral lists this ribosomal RNA (464 nucleotides) under uncultured Klebsiella sp. RNAcentral describes it as "bacterial SSU rRNA". It matches the Rfam family "Bacterial small subunit ribosomal RNA", at positions 338 to 795 of the family's 1533-position model. Lineage: Bacteria; Pseudomonadati; Pseudomonadota; Gammaproteobacteria; Enterobacterales; Enterobacteriaceae. The record is from RNAcentral.
CCUACGGGGGGCAGCAGUGGGGAAUAUUGCACAAUGGGCGCAAGCCUGAUGCAGCCAUGCCGCGUGUGUGAAGAAGGCCUCGGGUUGUAAAGCACUUUCAGCGGGGAGGAAGGCGGUGAGGUUAAUAACCUCAUCGAUUGACGUUACCCGCAGAAGAAGCACCGGCUAACUCCGUGCCAGCAGCCGCGGUAAUACGGAGGGUGCAAGCGUUAAUCGGAAUUACUGGGCGUAAAGCGCACGCAGGCGGUCUGUCAAGUCGGAUGUGAAAUCCCCGGGCUCAACCUGGGAACUGCAUUCGAAACUGGCAGGCUAGAGUCUUGUAGAGGGGGGUAGAAUUCCAGGUGUAGCGGUGAAAUGCGUAGAGAUCUGGAGGAAUACCGGUGGCGAAGGCGGCCCCCUGGACAAAGACUGACGCCCAGGUGCGAAAGCGUGGGGAGCAAACAGGAUUAGAUACCCUAGUAGUC